Molecule: non-coding RNA, 1571 nt
Organism: Delphinapterus leucas (beluga whale)
Lineage: Eukaryota; Metazoa; Chordata; Mammalia; Artiodactyla; Monodontidae
Source: RefSeq, a predicted model, not a curated record
CUGGCUCGGGAGCCGGCCUUCCUCUGCGUGUUCCGUUUUCGCCUGAGUGCCCCCGGGCAACCCAGGAGAGUCACUGACGCUUCCAGUUUCGCCGCCCGCGGGCGGGGUGGGGACUGUCAGGCCACGGCGGAGGGGUCAGGGCUUCCUGUUUUGUGUUGCAAAUUUACGUGGAUUUGGGGUUUUGUAGUUCCGUAAUAGAGCUGCGUUUGUUUUUCAUAUGUAGUAUCCCUCCCUGUUGAAUAAUCGAGUGCAAUUUACGCUCCAUGCAGAUGUGUCGCGUUUUUUUCUGUGGCUUCUUGUACGUCACCCCACCCCGGGUUAGUCUAUACUACAACCCAGUAGAACAGCCACCUUUCUGUCUGUAAACCCAUCUCUUUUAGUUCUUUCAAUCGUUAACCGCUUUAAAACCCAACUUUCUUUCCACAGACCUCCAUCGUGUCAGACGAUAAAGCACUUGCGCGAGGUGCCGGAGACCAAGAUGAUAACAGGUUUUACUGUUUGUGUAUCCUCAGUACAUACAGAGACAGUUAUGACUGCAAUAUGAAAUUUAUCUUGGGAGCCAAGAGCCCUUUGAUUUCCCUGACAGAUACAAAAAGGCCUGAAGCUGGGAAUUUAAAAAAAAAUUUUUCCCACUCACAGUAGUGGAUUAAAAUUUUCUGCUUCAUUUUCUUUCAUAAAAAGAAAUUCUUGCCUACGGUUGAGGGUGAAGAUGAUCUCUGUGACACCUCCCAGCUUUGAAAUUCCCAGAUGCCUGGAAACAAACCUAUAGUCCCAUAGGGUAAAAGCAGACCCCAAAGAACAUGGUUACAGGCAAGGGCUCUCUUUGGAUCCUAAUGACAGAUGCUCCAGAGAGCAUCUCUAAUCUGAGGACAAAAGCUUCUAUACAAUGAUUUGCUUGAAUGAAUUGAGGUAAGAGCAGACCACCCCUUUCUACACCCCCAAUCCCUCAGGUGCAGAGAGAAGUUUUCUGGUGAAGUGGAUGGUACCUGUGUAUUAUUACAAACCCAGCUCUGUGUGGGUUCAGCUGCUUUGUAGAAGAGGGACUUGAUCUAGACCAAUGAGGAUGAAUUCUUGUCAUCAUCUCUUCCACCGCCAUCACCAAAUAGGCAUCAUCCUAGACCACUUCAAUAGCCUUUUAAACAGUCCACCUAGAUCCACCCUGGCCCGCCUCCAAUCAGUUGUCCACUCAGCAGCUUGAAUGAUCUUUCCAAAACACAAAUCGAUGGUUUCCAUUGCUCCUCAAAUAAAGACCGGAAUUCCUAACAUGGCCUAUAAUGUCCUAUAUGGUUUGGCCCUUUAUACCAUUCUAGCCUCAUCUUGCUCCCCAUCCCCCAUUGGCCUUCUUUCUGUCCCACACACUCACGGAACUCCCUCCCAUCCCAGGGCAUAUGCUCUUCUCCACCCUCAUCACCGGGUGAACUCCUAUUCAUACUUCAGGGAUCAUUUCCAGGUUACCUCCUCAGAGCAGCCUUCCCUGACCAGACUGAAGUCCCCUAUUAUAGGCUCUCACUUGCCAUGUAGUGUGCCUCUCCUUCAUUGCAUGGUCACAACUGCAAUUUUACUGUUGUAAU